UACGGGGGGGGCAAGCGUUGUUCGGAAUUACUGGGCGUAAAGGGCUCGUAGGCGGCCAACUAAGUCAGACGUGAAAUCCCUCGGCUUAACCGGGGAACUGCGUCUGAUACUGGAUGGCUUGAGUGUGGGAGAGGGAUGCGGAAUUCCAGGUGUAGCGGUGAAAUGCGCAGAUAUCGGGAGGAACACCAGUAGCGAAGGCGGCACUCUGGGCCGGUACUGACGCUGAGGAGCGAAAGCGUGGGGAGCGAACAGG
This 253-nucleotide ribosomal RNA is filed under the name uncultured bacterium. Its description in RNAcentral is "partial 16S ribosomal RNA". It matches the Rfam family "Bacterial small subunit ribosomal RNA", at positions 524 to 776 of the family's 1533-position model. The record is from RNAcentral.